Molecule: long non-coding RNA, 707 nt
Filed under: Homo sapiens (human)
Lineage: Eukaryota; Metazoa; Chordata; Mammalia; Primates; Hominidae
Description: non-protein coding lnc-SPRED2-17:1
Source: RNAcentral
UUCUUGAGGAGGAUAUUCUCCCAUAUAUAUCAGUAACAAUACAAAUAUUUGUAUCCUUUCACCUAACAUUUAUAUGUAAUAUUCUAUACAGUUAAAUGAUUACACCUCCCCCACCCCACAUUUAGUGUACAUGUGUUCAUUGAAAAACUGGAAAUAUGGUUUUUGCAAUGGAAAUUAGUUAGAGUCAAAGAAAGAGAACUGAAGUCAAUUCUCACUUACCUUGAUCUGCCUCCUAACCCAGAGCUUGCCUAGUUGGAUGACAUUUCUAGGUGAAUAAUUUGAAAAGACUGGAGGAUGCAGGACGGGUUGGAUGGAAAAGCUAAAGUGAUGGUAAAAGGAAGAUGGACGAACUUAGAUUUUAAAGAGGUAGAAAUGAGUCAAGAGGGAGAUCUGAGUUCAGGAGGCAAAGGGGAGGGUUUGGCCUGGAAGAUUUGGUGGGAGGAGGUGAAAAGGUGGUAGUUACGAGAGGAGAAAAGUGGUGACAAAUAGAAAGACAGGAGUUUGUUGUCAGCAUGUGGGAUAUAAGAGUUUAAGAUUUUAGAAAUAAAGUCUUGCCAAAACCAAGACCAAAGGCAGGUACCCUGACUCAUUCAUAGAAUUUCUUUUCCUGGAAUGCCUCUGGCCUCUCUGAAGAGACCUAGUGCCAUAACUGAAGGCCAAACUUGUUAUAGGCUGGCACGAACAUUUGCCAGGGUAAUUUAUCCUCU